CCUACGGGUGGCAGCAGUGGGGAAUAUUGGGCAAUGGAGGAAACUCUGACCCAGCAACGCCGCGUGAAUGAUGAAGGUCUUCGGAUUGUAAAGUUCUUUUCUCAGGGAAGAAGAAAGUGACGGUACCUUAGGAAUAAGCCUCGGCUAACUACGUGCCAGCAGCCGCGGUAAUACGUAGGAGGCAAGCGUUAUCCGGAAUGACUGGGCGUAAAGGGUGCGUAGGUGGUUUGGCAAGUUAGUAGUGUAACUCCAAGGCUUAACCUUGGUACUACUUCUAAAACUGUUGGACUUGAGUGCAGGAGAGGCAAGCGGAAUUCCUAGUGUAGCGGUGGAAUGCGUAGAUAUUAGGAGGAACACCAGUGGCGAAGGCGGGUGACUGGACUGUAACUGACACUGAGGCACGAAAGCGUGGGGAGCAAACAGGAUUAGAUACCCCAGUAGUC
Molecule: ribosomal RNA, 443 nt
Filed under: uncultured bacterium
Lineage: Bacteria
Description: partial 16S ribosomal RNA
Rfam family: Bacterial small subunit ribosomal RNA
Source: RNAcentral